AAACCUUUCCUUUCCCAUUUAUUUUCCAAACGCAGCCAACAAUUAAACUAAAAGCCACUGCCCUAAAAUCAAAUUUCUAGGGUUUAUUCCAGCAGCCUCCAUUUGCUAAGGCCCGUUCAUCACCAAUUCACCAUUAAAAUUGGUGAGUGAUGUAGAAGCAGCCUUUACUUCCUCCGAAAUCAACAUUCAAAGACCAUUCUCACUUGAUAAUCCGCAUUGCUAACCCCGAUUCCGACGGAGAAGCCAAGGGAUCUCAUCGAUGCGUUUAACGAAGGUAACUUUCUCGCUUUUCUUGCUUUUUAUUUUAAAAAAAACUAAACACACCAGACAUAUCCAUAAGAAAAAGAAAAAAAAUAUUGAAGAUGGAAAAAGAUUUCAAAUUACCUUUUGCUUUUCUUAUAUUUCAGUAUAUGUGUAUAUGUAUAGCAUGCGUCCAUUUUGUAGGUACAUAUCAUUGGCUUUUUAUAGUCGAUUUAUAGAAUAAAUAAAUAAAUAAUAAAAAUAUAUUUUAUUUGCUGUCAUCUGUUGUAUUCUGUUAGCCUCUUUCUCGUGUAUUCUUUGCAGGAUCAUCCGUACGGAGGAGCGGGGAGAGGCACGCUUGAACGAAGCCGUGCGAGGAAUUCGCUCGUGAGACCCAACUCCUUGGCUGGAGCACCCCAAACCCGGCCCAAACGUUAUGACCGGAUCUGACAUGCCACAUCGAAGCGUUCAAAACAUUUUAUAUUGUUGAUCCAGAAAAACUUACUUAGUGUUUUAAAAGAUAAUUUCAUUAUAGGUUAAAGUGAAUGGAAGCUGUGCACCAGGUAGGAAACCGAAAAAGAGGUGGUGAGUCCAUCGGACUGCUUAAGUACCAAGCUCCCUUCGGAUCCAAUCCUAGACAUGCAUACCGCCAUUGCCACACCUUAACGUCAUGGAUAUUUCUAGGAAACCGAUUUGAUUAAGUCAUUUUUAGGAAAAGUGAUUAAUUUUGGAAAAUACUUUCAUUGCGGAAGUUUUGCUUGUUGUCGUGUUAUUUUGAAAUCAACUGUUGUUUUUGAAAACGCGCCCUAAAGCUAUCCAAUUUCAACAGUUAAAAUAAGUAAUACC
Molecule: long non-coding RNA, 1086 nt
Filed under: Gossypium barbadense (sea-island cotton)
Lineage: Eukaryota; Viridiplantae; Streptophyta; Magnoliopsida; Malvales; Malvaceae
Description: long non-coding RNA (GBAR_LNC007645)
Source: RNAcentral